This 203-nucleotide ribosomal RNA is filed under the name uncultured bacterium. RNAcentral describes it as "partial 16S ribosomal RNA". It matches the Rfam family "Bacterial small subunit ribosomal RNA", at positions 524 to 723 of the family's 1533-position model. The record is from RNAcentral.
UACGUAGGGCGCAAGCGUUGUCCGGAAUUAUUGAGCGUAAAGAGCUCGUAGGCGGUUUGUCGCGUCUGCUGUGAAAACCUAAGGCUCAACCUUGGGCUUGCAGUGGGUACGGGCAGACUAGAGUGCGGUAGGGGUGACUGGAAUUCCUGGGUGAUACGCGGUGGAAUGCGCAGAUAUCAGGAGGAACACCGAUGGCGAAGGCA